This 373-nucleotide ribosomal RNA is filed under the name uncultured eukaryote. RNAcentral describes it as "partial 18S ribosomal RNA". It matches the Rfam family "Eukaryotic small subunit ribosomal RNA", at positions 592 to 976 of the family's 1831-position model. The record is from RNAcentral.
CAAUAGCGUAUAUUAAAGUUGUUGCAGUUAAAAAGCUCGUAGUUGAAUUUUUGCUUGCCGCCGAUGUCGGAACUUCCGUACGUUCGGCGGCGUGCAUCCUUGGGUGGAACCUGUGUGGCAUUAGGUUGUCGUGCAGGGGAUGCUCAUCGUUUACUGUGAAAAAAUUAGAGUGUUCAAAGCAGGCUUACGCCGUUGAAUAUAUUAGAAUGGAAUAAUAAGAUAGGACCUUGGUACUAUUUUGUUGGUUUGCGCACCGAGGUAAUGAUUAACAGGGACAGUUGGGGGUAUUCGUAUUCCAUUGUCAGAGGUGAAAUUCUUGGAUUUCUGGAAGACGAACUACUGCGAAAGCAUUUACCAAGGAUGUUUUCAUUAA